GUCUUCUGUGUCGCUCACGCUGGGAGCUGUAGACCGGAGCUGUUCCUAUUCGGCCAUCUUGGCUCCUCCUCUGUACCAGCAGGAAACACCUUAGUGUCAUAUUUCUGCAUUAAUCAUGGAAUCUAUUUUCAUUUAAAACCCCAAACAGAAGGAAACAGGGAUUAAUUGUGUCUGCCCAGUAUGGCAUGAAGGUUUCAUCACCUGUGGUAACUCCAGUUGAUUGAAGGUGGUUACAUGAAGAGAUAUGUUGGAACAAAUUGUGAGACACUGUUAGGGCUCUGCUGGCAAGUGUGGUUACCUAUGAGUAAUGACUACUAUGGGUGCUGAAGGUGUGAGGGAAGGUGCAAGUGCUUAGGUAUUUGCUGUCUAUAUCUUAAGUCUUCGGCAUAUAAUUACCACGUGUCCUUGGGAAGAAGGGAGGUCUCAAAAUCAUCCCUGGAUAAUUUCUUUGGUUUUUCGCCUCUUUCCAUCAUUUAGUCUUUCUUUAUCCCUUUCUGAUAUCUACUGUACAUUUAAUUAAGCUUAGCAGUAUAGAGAUAGAAAACAGGCUGCAAAUAUUAUCCCCAUACCUAACCAAGACUCUCAUUUAAAUCACUGGCAAUGUAAUUCUUGCUUGCCCCACACCAUUGAUUUGCAUAUUUUGGUGGGUAAAACAAUCACCUGAGGACAUGGUUUCAAAUAUAAGCUCUGGCUUUUACUCCCAAGAGAUUCAGAUUAGAAAUAGAUGCAUUUGAUCUGUAUCUUAACUGAGAUACAUUUGAUCAGUUUCAACUGAGAUACAUUUUGAAACUGAUCUGCAUUUAAAAGGCACUCUGAGUAUCUGUGAGGCAGAAGACUUUGGACCAUAAUUUGAGCAACACUACCCUAAACUCAGAUAAAUUGCUCUUUUUACCCAGGAGCUGGGACAGGAUUUAAUAUGAGCCACAGCGUCAGUCCUUCUGUCUACCUCCAGGGGAACUAGUACUCUUUUUUUUUU
This 976-nucleotide long non-coding RNA is filed under the name Homo sapiens (human). RNAcentral's name for it is "HSALNT0214147". Lineage: Eukaryota; Metazoa; Chordata; Mammalia; Primates; Hominidae. The record is from RNAcentral.